GACGUAGGGCGCGAGCGUUGUCCGGAUUUAUUGGGCGUAAAGAGCUCGUAGGCGGCUCGUUGCGUCAAUCGUGAAAGCCCGAGGCUCAACCUCGGAACUGCCUUCGAUACUGCGGGUCUCGAGUCCGGGAGAGGUGAGUGGAAUUCCUAGUGUAGAGGUGAAAUUCGUAGAUAUUAGGAAGAACACCAGUGGCGAAGGCGGCUCACUGGCCCGGUACUGACGCUGAGGCGCGAAAGCGUGGGGAGCAAACAGG
Molecule: ribosomal RNA, 253 nt
Filed under: uncultured bacterium
Lineage: Bacteria
Description: partial 16S ribosomal RNA
Rfam family: Bacterial small subunit ribosomal RNA
Source: RNAcentral